CGGACGGGUGAGUAACGCGUGGAAAACCUGCCGUAUACUGGGGGAUAACACUUAGAAAUAGGUGCUAAUACCGCAUAAGCGCACAGCUUCGCAUGAAGCGGUGUGAAAAACUCUGGUGGUAUACGAUGGUUCCGCGUCUGAUUAGCUAGUUGGUGGGGGUAAUGGCCUACCAAGGCAACGAUCAGUAGCCGGCCUGAGAGGGUGAACGGCCACAUUGGGACUGAGACACGGCCCAAACUCCUACGGGAGGCAGCAG
This 256-nucleotide ribosomal RNA is filed under the name uncultured bacterium. RNAcentral describes it as "partial 16S ribosomal RNA". It matches the Rfam family "Bacterial small subunit ribosomal RNA", at positions 99 to 354 of the family's 1533-position model. The record is from RNAcentral.